This 497-nucleotide ribosomal RNA is filed under the name uncultured bacterium. Its description in RNAcentral is "partial 16S ribosomal RNA". It matches the Rfam family "Bacterial small subunit ribosomal RNA", at positions 28 to 507 of the family's 1533-position model. The record is from RNAcentral.
GAUGAACGCUGGCGGCGUGCCUAAUACAUGCAAGUCGAGCGAACAGACGAGGAGCUUGCUCCUCUGACGUUAGCGGCGGACGGGUGAGUAACACGUGGAUAACCUACCUAUAAGACUGGGAUAACUUCGGGAAACCGGAGCUAAUACCGGAUAAUAUAUUGAACCGCAUGGUUCAAUAGUGAAAGACGGUUUUGCUGUCACUUAUAGAUGGAUCCGCGCCGCAUUAGCUAGUUGGUAAGGUAGCGGCUUACCAAGGCAACGAUGCGUAGCCGACCUGAGAGGGUGAUCGGCCACACUGGAACUGAGACACGGUCCAGACUCCUACGGGAGGCAGCAGUAGGGAAUCUUCCGCAAAGGGCGAAAGCCUGACGGAGCAACGCCGCGUGAGUGAUGAAGGUCUUCGGAUCGUAAAACUCUGUUAUUAGGGAAGAACAAAUGUGUAAGUAACUAUGCACGUCUUGACGGUACCUAAUCAGAAAGCCACGGCUAACUACGUG